UACGUAGGGUCCGAGCGUUGUCCGGAUUUAUUGGGCGUAAAGAGCUCGUAGGCGGUUUCGUAAGUCGGAUGUGAAAACUCAGGGCUCAACCCGGAGACGCCAUCCGAUACUGCGAUGACUGGAGUCUGGUAGGGGAUCACGGAAUACCUGGUGUAGCGGUGAAAUGCGUAGAUAUCAGGAGGAAUACCGGUGGUGUAGACGGCUCUCUGGACCGCAACUGACGCUGAAACACGAAAGCGUGGGUAGCAAACAGG
This 254-nucleotide ribosomal RNA is filed under the name uncultured bacterium. Its description in RNAcentral is "partial 16S ribosomal RNA". It matches the Rfam family "Bacterial small subunit ribosomal RNA", at positions 524 to 776 of the family's 1533-position model. The record is from RNAcentral.